Molecule: ribosomal RNA, 373 nt
Filed under: uncultured Bacteroidota bacterium
Lineage: Bacteria; Pseudomonadati; Bacteroidota
Description: bacterial SSU rRNA
Rfam family: Bacterial small subunit ribosomal RNA
Source: RNAcentral
UAAUACGGAGGGUGCAAGCGUUAUCCGGAUUUAUUAGGUUUAAAGGGUUCGCAGGCGGAAUUUUAAGUCAGUGGUGAAAGCCUAUAGCUCAACUAUAGAACUGCCAUUGAAACUGAAAUUCUUGAGUAUAGAUGAAGUGGGCGGAAUAUGUCAUGUAGCGGUGAAAUGCAUAGAUAUGACAUGGAACACCAAUUGCGAAGGCAGCUCACUAAACUAUUACUGACGCUCAGGAACGAAAGCAUGGGGAGCGAACAGGAUUAGAUACCCUGGUAGUCCAUGCCGUAAACUAUGAUCACUAGAUGUUGGCGAUAUAAUGUCAGUGUUUUAGAGAAAUCAGUAAGUGAUCCACCUGGGGAGUACGUUCGCAAGAAUG